Molecule: ribosomal RNA, 466 nt
Filed under: uncultured bacterium
Lineage: Bacteria
Description: partial 16S ribosomal RNA
Rfam family: Bacterial small subunit ribosomal RNA
Source: RNAcentral
GAUGAACGCUGGCGGCGUGCUUAACACAUGCAAGUCGAACGGAAAGGCUCCUGCUUGCCGGGGUACUCGAGUGGCGAACGGGUGAGUAACACGUGGGUGAUCUGCCCUUCACUUCGUGAUAAGCCUGGGAAACUGGGGCUAAUACCGGAUAGGACGAUGUUUUGGAUGCCAUUGUGUAAAGUUUUUUCGGUGUGGGAUGAGCUCUCGGCCUAUCAGCUUGUUGGUGGGGUAUUGGCCUACCAACGCGUCGACGGGUAGCCGACCUGGGAGGGUGGACGGCCACAUUGGGACUGAGAUACGGCCCAGACUCCUACGGGAGGCAGCAGUGGGGAAUAUUGCACAAUGGGCGCAAGCGUGAUGCAGCGACGCCGCGUGCGGGAUGACGGCCUUCGAGUUGUAAACAACUUUCGAUAGGGACGAAGCGCAAGUGACGGUACCUGGAGAAGAAGCACCGGCUAACUACGUG